AUGAUAGAUAGUUCAAAAUAUCAGUGGUGGCGCGCCAUCAUGAUGAACAAUCUAAAGCUUGGCGUUGAGGUUGUCAGUGCUCAUGACCUCCUCCCUAAGGAGCAGGGCACAGCCAAUGCCUUUGUAGAGGUUGAAUUUGAUGGCCAGAAGUUUCGCACGGCCAUCAAAGACAGCGACAUCAACCCUGUCUGGAACGAGCAGUUCUUCUUCAACAUAUCAGAUCCAUCUCGCCUCCAAGAGAAAGAGCUCGAGGCGUAUGUGUACCAUGCAAACCGCGCCAGCAACAACAAGACUUGCCUCGGCAAGGUUCGUAUCUCCGGCACAUCCUUUGUCAGCCAAGCUGAUGCUGCGCCCCUGCAUUAUCCCCUGGAGAAGCGCACCAUCUUAUCACGUGCACGUGGUGAGCUUGGCCUCAGAGUUUUCCUUACAAAUGAUCCGUCUGUGAGGGUGUCUGCUCCAGGUCAGGAUUUUGAUUUCGCAAGCACGCCCACCACUGCCCAAGAGCAGGCUGUCGCCAAUGCUAUCCCAAAUCCUUUCCAAGACACCAGGAUAAAUCAAGUCAGACAAUUCCAACACUUGCCACGGGAACAGCAGCAGCGUCCACCACCCAUGGCCGGACAGCAAUACUACGCACAAGGUCAGGGUUCAUAUGGAGAGCAGCAACAGAGAAGCUACUCUGCUGCAGGGAUGAAAACUGAAGCCCCUCAGGUAGCAAGGAUGUAUUCCGCAGGUCCACAGCAGCCUGUAGACUUUCAGCUCAAGGAGACAAGCCCAACGCUUGGUGGUGGACGUAUUAUUCACGGCCGGGUGAUGCCUGGUGAGAAGGCUGGGGCAUAUGACCUUGUCGAGAAGAUGCAAAUCCUCUUUGUGCGUGUCGUCAAGGCCCGUGAACUGCCCCACAUGGACCUCACUGGGAGUCUUGACCCUUAUGUUGAGGUGCACCUUGGCAACUACAAAAUGAAAACAAAGUUCUUUGAGAAGAACCAGAGGCCUGAGUGGGAUGAGGUGUUUGCCUUCCCUAAAGAAGUAGUGCAGUCAUCGACACUUGAAGUUGUUGUCAAGGACAAGGACAUCCUUCGGGAUGACUAUGUCGGUCGGGUGAUGCUUGACCUGAAUGAGGUACCUGUAAGGGUCCCUCCUGACAGCCCAUUGGCGCCAGAGUGGUAUCGCCUUAUGGGCAAGGAUGGGAUGAGGGACAGAGGGGAGUUGAUGCUUGCAGUCUGGUACGGAACCCAAGCAGAUGAAUGCUUCCCAAGUGCCAUUCAUGCAGGAACAACACCAAUAGAUUCCCAUCUUCACAACUAUAUCCGUGGAAAGGUCUACCCUACACCGAGAAUGUGGUACGUCAGGGUCAAUGUAAUUGAGGCACAGGAUAUAUUCACAAUGGAACACCACCACAUACCUGAUGUGUUUGUAAAGGUGAGGCUGGGUCACCAACUACUGAAGACAAGGCAAGUUCGCUCACCAACCAAGAACUUCAUGUGGAAUGAAGAAAUGAUGUUUGUCGCAGCAGAGCCUUUUGAGGAUGACUUGAUCAUACAAAUAGAAAAUCGUGUUGCACAGAACAAAGAUGAGGUGAUUGGUGAAACUAUGAUACCUCUCGCAAGGAUUCAAAAGAGGGCUGACCACAAGGCAGUAGUACGUCCAUUGUGGUUCGAUCUCAGAAGGCCAGGACUGAUUGAUGUGAACCAGCUAAAGGAAGACAAAUUCUACGCAAAGGUGAACCUUCGUAUUUGCCUUGAAGGUGGUUAUCAUGUGCUUGAUGAGUCAACACAGUAUUGUAGCGAUCUCCGGCCAACAAUGAAGCAGUUGUGGAAGCCACCAAUUGGGUUGCUUGAAGUUGGGAUUCUAAGUGCAAAUGGCCUCAACCCAACAAAGACCAGGCAAGAAAGGGGGUCAUGUGAUCCAUAUUGUGUUGCCAAGUAUGGUCAUAAAUGGGUGCGGACACGCACAAUUGUUGACAACUUGAACCCUCGGUUCAAUGAGCAGUAUACAUGGGAUGUCUUUGACCAUGGAACAGUACUCACCAUUGGUCUAUUUGACAACUGCCACAUAGGGGGAGACAACAACAAUCACAGCCACAGCCACAACCAGAGUCAUAGCCACAGCAGCAGUUCCCCCAGUCAUAUGGAUAAACCCAUUGGGAAAGUCCGAAUCAGGAUCUCAACCCUUGAGACUAGGCGGGUGUACACGCACACAUAUCCACUGCUUGUCCUCCACCCAUCAGGUGUUAAAAAGAUGGGUGAAAUCCACCUUGCUAUCAGGUUCUCAGUCACAUCCCUGCUCAAUGUGUUCCUUACAUACUCACGUCCUCUCUUGCCCAAGAUGCACUACGCCCAGCCACUGUCAAUAGUCCAGCAGGAAAUGCUACGCCACCAGGCUGUGCAGCUUGUUGCACAGCGCCUGGGGCGCAUGGAACCACCAGUUCGCAGGGAAGUUGUUGAGUUCAUGUCAGACGCACGCUCUCACCUGUGGAGCAUGCGACGAAGCAAAGCAAACUUCUUCCGUCUGAUGCAAGUCUUCUCUGGAUUCAUUGCUGCAGGGAAGUGGUUUGGUGACGUUUGCCAGUGGAAAAACCCAGUCACCACAGUCUUGGUCCAUGUACUCUUCAUCAUGCUCGUCUUCUAUCCAGACCUUAUCCUUCCGACGAUCUUCCUCUACAUGUUCUUGAUUGGGUUGUGGAAUUAUCGGUUCCGGCCACGUGUCCCACCACAUAUGAACACAAGGAUAUCUUAUGCGGAUGUUGCGCAUCCAGACGAGCUUGAUGAGGAAUUUGACACGUUCCCAACCUCGAAGAGCGCUGACCUGAUUAGGAUGAGGUAUGACAGGCUACGACACGUUGCAGGCAGGAUACAGACAGUUGUUGGCGACAUCGCAACUCAGGGUGAGAGAUUGCAGUCACUGCUGAGCUGGAGGGACCCAAGAGCAACAGCUAUGUUCUUAUUAUUUUGCCUGUUCACUGCAAUUAUACUGUAUAUUACACCAUUUCAAGUGAUUGCGCUCUGCCUUGGGUUCUUCUGGAUGAGGCACCCACGGUUUCGCCACAAGGUGCCCGCAGCGCCAGUAAACUUCUUCAGGAGGCUACCUGCAAAGACAGACUCAUUGCUGUAA
RNAcentral lists this ribosomal RNA (3111 nucleotides) under Triticum aestivum (bread wheat). Its description in RNAcentral is "partial small subunit ribosomal RNA". The record is from RNAcentral. Lineage: Eukaryota; Viridiplantae; Streptophyta; Magnoliopsida; Poales; Poaceae.